This 717-nucleotide ribosomal RNA is filed under the name uncultured bacterium. Its description in RNAcentral is "bacterial SSU rRNA". It matches the Rfam family "Bacterial small subunit ribosomal RNA", at positions 86 to 839 of the family's 1533-position model. The record is from RNAcentral.
UCGGGUCUAGUGGCGCACGGGUGCGUAACGCGUGGGAACCUGCCUUUAGGUUCGGAAUAACUCCCCGAAAGGGGUGCUAAUACCGAAUAAUGUCUUCGGACCAAAGAUUUAUCGCCUUUAGAUGGGCCCGCGUUGGAUUAGCUAGUUGGUGGGGUAAAGGCUCACCAAGGCGACGAUCCAUAGCUGGUCUGAGAGGAUGAUCAGCCACACUGGGACUGAGACACGGCCCACACUCCUACGGGAGGCAGCAGUGGGGAAUAUUGGACAAUGGGCGAAAGCCUGAUCCAGCAAUGCCGCGUGAGUGAUGAAGGCCUUAGGGUUGUAAAGCUCUUUUACCCGGGAUGAUAAUGACAGUACCGGGAGAAUAAGCUCCGGCUAACUCCGUGCCAGCAGCCGCGGUAGUACGGAGGGAGCUAGCGUUGUUCGGAAUUACUGGGCGUAAAGCGCGCGUAGGCGGCUAUUCAAGUCAGGGGUGAAAUCCCGGGGCUCAACCCCGGAACUGCCCUUGAAACUGGAUGGCUAGAAUCCUGGAGAGGCGAGUGGAAUUCCGAGUGUAGAGGUGAAAUUCGUAGAUAUUCGGAAGAACACCAGUGGCGAAGGCGACUCGCUGGACAGGUAUUGACGCUGAGGUGCGAAAGCGUGUGGAGCAAACAGGAUUAGAUACCCUGGUAGUCCACGCCGUAACGAUGAUAACUAGCUGUCCGGUCACAUGGUGCU